Non-coding RNA from Schizosaccharomyces pombe (fission yeast), 916 nucleotides. NCBI's taxonomy places the organism in Eukaryota, Fungi, Ascomycota, Schizosaccharomycetes, Schizosaccharomycetales, Schizosaccharomycetaceae. The record is from the annotation of a GenBank genome assembly.
AAGGACAGAAGAUAUAAAAUCUACUAAUUUAGUGUUUACAUAAGUGACAUCUGAAACCGGGGAUGUUGAUGCAUUUUCGAAAUCUCCAGGUGAUGUUAAGAUAUCACCAUCGUCCUGCUUCAGUGGGAUAAAGGAAUACUCGACUUGUUGCUUCGAUUUCUCAUUUUGAAUUUCUAAAGCAGAUAGUAAUGUCUCCACAUUAUCAUCCUUUUUAAAUACUUUUAAUUUUUUUUCUGUGGGAAUUGGUUUUGCUGAUGUUUCAUCCUUAAAAUCAUAAUCUUCAUAAACUCUUUUAUUCGCCUGGCUGUCCGAUGUUAAAUUCGACAAUUGCUCUUCAAACUCAGUCCCUUUAAAUAUCACUUCAGGAAGUUCAGACAACAUUUGGUUUUUUUUUAUAUGUAAAAAGCGAUUAUAUUGCAAAUCGCGACUUAGUUAGAUGUUGGCUGCUUCUGCUUGCUAUACAAACUCAUUUUAUUACUCUUUUUUUAGGUGCCACAGGCUCGUCGUUAUUCGAUUACCGUAUUAGUGUUCAUGUUUACGCAUUUCCUUCUAUUAGCGCUAUUAAGAACUUAAAGUAUUUUACAGGAACAGCAGAUACUCAGUUCCUUUAAACUCCAUAGUAUCAUAAUCGUCUAAUUUUCGAAUGGAAUCAAUACUUUUUAAGAACUGUCGAUAUACGCUCUUCAGACUAAAACCAAAUUAUUUCAAUUUUUAAAAGAUUAUUAUUAUUAUUACACGAUCAUGAAAAAAUGAAUUAUACAAAGCUAUACAGAACAUUGUACCGAUUUGGCCACCAGUCCUGAAGCUAGAAGAUUUAAUGAAGCAAUGCUCAACUAAUGUUUAAUGAUAAACACAGAGGAAAACAAGUAGUAUCGCGAAGACACUUGCACGCACUUUUAAGAGCACACAUUCAUCA